Molecule: ribosomal RNA, 483 nt
Filed under: uncultured bacterium
Lineage: Bacteria
Description: partial 16S ribosomal RNA
Rfam family: Bacterial small subunit ribosomal RNA
Source: RNAcentral
UUGAACGCUGGCGGCAUGCUUUACACAUGCAAGUCGAACGGCAGCGCGGGCUUCGGCCUGGCGGCGAGUGGCGAACGGGUGAGUAAUACAUCGGAACGUGCCCAGUAGUGGGGGAUAGCUCGGCGAAAGCCGGAUUAAUACCGCAUACGACCUGAGGGUGAAAGCGGGGGAUCUUCGGACCUCGUGCUAUUGGAGCGGCCGAUGGCAGAUUAGCUAGUUGGUGGGGUAAAGGCCUACCAAGGCGACGAUCUGUAGCUGGUCUGAGAGGAGGACGAGCCACACUGGGAGUGAGACACGGCCCAGACUCCUACGGGAGGCAGCAGUGGGGAAUUUUGGACAAUGGGCGAAAGCCUGAUCCAGCAAUGCCGCGUGUGUGAUGAAGGCCUUCGGGUUGUAAAGCACUUUUGGCGGGAACGAAAAGGACUGUGCCAAUACCACGGUUCGAUGACGGUACCCGCAGAAUAAGCACCGGCUAACUACGUG